Molecule: unclassified non-coding RNA, 1105 nt
Filed under: Hevea brasiliensis (rubber tree)
Lineage: Eukaryota; Viridiplantae; Streptophyta; Magnoliopsida; Malpighiales; Euphorbiaceae
Source: RNAcentral
GAAUAUGACCAUCUGCCAGGACACUGCCACCAUGAAAAACGCUCAGACAAAAUGGAAACCAGAAAUGUAUAUUGAGACAAUGAUUUGCAAAGUAUCAAUUAAUUAUAUGUCAAAACUGGCAUGAACCCCUUUCCUCCCUCCCUCAAAAAAGAGGUAUGAAAUCACAUGACAUGCAUUGUAGCUUUCAUAUGUAUCCAAAAUGAAGAAACUUGCAGAAGAUCACAUAAUAAACCAUCUAGUUGCAUUUACAUACCUCAAAUAUGUAUGUUAGUGACACAAGCUACCUUUCAUCAAAACAAUACACAAACCAUACUCAAAGAAGAAAUAAGUGUCCUAAAUGAAAAAUAUUCGAAGGAAAUAUCUGAUUCUAUUUUAAGGAACCAUAAAAGAGAAGCAUAGGGCCAAAGACACCGAAUAAAAAGUCACUCCUGGCAAUCAAACAAACAUGAUAAAUGAUAACCACGUUAGAGCUAAACGUCAAAAAGUAACACUGAGCUUCUCGAAAGGGUCUCCAAACAAACGAGUCUACCACAUUAGAAGCUCUUAGGAGUAUUAGCAGUGCACAACAUUUAUCCAUAAUUUCAGGUCCAUGACCUCCAUGUCACAAUGCAUAAUCUUAACACUGCAUCAAGGAUCAACCUAGGCCUGGCCACGGCCCAGUUUGGGCCAAGAACUGAACCCAACCAGCCAGAACUGGCCCCCUUUUCUGUCCUCUUGUACCGGACCUGAACUUGGCUGGUUCGGCCCGGUUUAGGGCCAAAACAGGAUUUUUUUUACCUUUAAAAAAAAAAGAAAAAAAAAAUCCCAACCAUUGGAUUAGAUCAAAACUUGGCAUAAUUGGGACCAAACCGGUACCAGAGGAUCCUGUGGUCCGGUCUCAGCCAGUUCAAGCCAGGGACAGAUGGCCAAAUCUAGCUCAACCUAUCUGGAGUUAAUGCUGAGUUGAUUAAAUUAAGAUUCAGAUGUGGGCAUAUUUCCCUGCACCACCUCCCACAGUUAACAAGCUGGCCAAAUCAGGCCUCAUCUUAAAAGCCACAACAGAGAGACCAUGACUGGAAACAAAAUAGAGAGGGAUUAUUACCGUUGCUUCCUCACAAAGGAGUUC